This 498-nucleotide ribosomal RNA is filed under the name uncultured bacterium. RNAcentral describes it as "partial 16S ribosomal RNA". It matches the Rfam family "Bacterial small subunit ribosomal RNA", at positions 28 to 507 of the family's 1533-position model. The record is from RNAcentral.
GACGAACGCUGGCGGCGUGCCUAAUACAUGCAAGUCGAACGAGAGCGACCGGUGCUUGCACUGGUCAAUCUAGUGGCGAACGGGUGAGUAACACGUGGGUAACCUGCCCAUCAGAGGGGGAUAACAUUCGGAAACGGAUGCUAAAACCGCAUAGGUCUUCGAACCGCAUGGUUUGAAGAGGAAAAGAGGCGCAAGCUUCUGCUGAUGGAUGGACCCGCGGUGCAUUAGCUAGUUGGUGAGGUAACGGCUCACCAAGGCCGUGAUGCAUAGCCGACCUGAGAGGGUGAUCGGCCACAUUGGGACUGAGACACGGACCAAACUCCUACGGGAGGCAGCAGUAGGGAAUCUUCCGCAAUGGACGCAAGUCUGACGGAGCAACGCCGCGUGAGUGAAGAAGGUUUUCGGAUCGUAAAACUCUGUUGUUAGAGAAGAAUAAGUGCUAGAGUAACUGUUAGCGCCUUGACGGUAUCUAACCAGAAAGCCACGGCUAACUACGUG